This 497-nucleotide ribosomal RNA is filed under the name uncultured bacterium. Its description in RNAcentral is "partial 16S ribosomal RNA". It matches the Rfam family "Bacterial small subunit ribosomal RNA", at positions 28 to 507 of the family's 1533-position model. The record is from RNAcentral.
GAUGAACGCUGGCGGCGUGCCUAAUACAUGCAAGUCGAGCGAACAGACGAGGAGCUUGCUCCUCUGACGUUAGCGGCGGACGGGUGAGUAACACGUGGAUAACCUACCUAUAAGACUGGGAUAACUUCGGGAAACCGGAGCUAAUACCGGAUAAUAUAUUGAACCGCAUGGUUCAAUAGUGAAAGACGGUUUUGCUGUCACUUAUAGAUGGAUCCGCGCCGCAUUAGCUAGUUGGUAAGGUAACGGCUUACCAAGGCAACGAUGCGUAGCCGACCUGAGAGGGUGAUCGGCCACCCUGGAACUGGGCCACGGUCCAGACUCCUACGGGAGGCCGCAGUAGGGAAUCUUCCGCAAUGGGCGAAAGCCUGACGGAGCAACGCCGCGUGAGUGAUGAAGGUCUUCGGAUCGUAAAACUCUGUUAUGAGGGAAGAACAAAUGUGUAAGUAACUAUGCACGUCUUGACGGUACCUAAUCAGAAAGCCACGGCUAACUACGUG